Molecule: long non-coding RNA, 232 nt
Filed under: Mustela putorius furo (domestic ferret)
Lineage: Eukaryota; Metazoa; Chordata; Mammalia; Carnivora; Mustelidae
Description: lncRNA (ENSMPUG00000032108.1)
Source: RNAcentral
UGGGAAUUGCAUGUGCAAAGACUGUAUUUGCGAAGAGAACAUGAUUCUUUACAGGAUCUGCCCAGGACUCCAAAUCCCAGUCGUCUGUCUUCAGUCAUGGAGGCUUGCAGGAAAAAAAUCCACUCACCAACCUUGAAUUGAAUUUCAAAGAGAGAGAGAGUUAGCAAGAGGUGGAGCAGAGGGAGAGGAAGAGAGGGAAUCUCAAGCAGACUCCGUGCUGACUGCGGAGCCU